RNAcentral lists this ribosomal RNA (555 nucleotides) under uncultured bacterium. RNAcentral describes it as "partial 16S ribosomal RNA". It matches the Rfam family "Bacterial small subunit ribosomal RNA", at positions 355 to 900 of the family's 1533-position model. The record is from RNAcentral.
UGGGGAAUAUUGCACAAUGGGCGCAAGCCUGAUGCAGCCAUGCCGCGUGUGUGAAGAAGGCCUUCGGGUUGUAAAGCACUUUCAGCGAGGAGGAAGGGUAGUGUGUUAAUAGCACAUUGCAUUGACGUUACUCGCAGAAGAAGCACCGGCUAACUCCGUGCCAGCAGCCGCGGUAAUACGGAGGGUGCAAGCGUUAAUCGGAAUUACUGGGCGUAAAGCGCACGCAGGCGGUUUGUUAAGUCAGAUGUGAAAUCCCCGCGCUUAACGUGGGAACUGCAUUUGAAACUGGCAAGCUAGAGUCUUGUAGAGGGGGGUAGAAUUCCAGGUGUAGCGGUGAAAUGCGUAGAGAUCUGGAGGAAUACCGGUGGCGAAGGCGGCCCCCUGGACAAAGACUGACGCUCAGGUGCGAAAGCGUGGGGAGCAAAACAGGAUUAGAUACCCUGGUAGUCCACGCUGUAAACGAUGUCGACUUGGAGGUUGUGCCCUUGAGGCGUGGCUUCCGGAGCUAACGCGUUAAGUCGACCGCCUGGGGGAGUACGGCCNCAAGGUUAAAAC